Molecule: long non-coding RNA, 321 nt
Organism: Bufo gargarizans (Asiatic toad)
Lineage: Eukaryota; Metazoa; Chordata; Amphibia; Anura; Bufonidae
Exons: 3
Source: RefSeq, a predicted model, not a curated record
AACAUGUUCGUUUGUUUGGUGUUCAACGUUUUAAGUGUUUUGUUGUUUAUCGGGUUUAAAAAAGAAUUUCACGGAGGAAGAGCUAAUAACAAGUACAGUUUGAAGUAACAUUUAAUGAUGACACAUCAAGAAGAUGAAAAAGACUACGAAGAGGACACUUCACAACUAGUGAACUACAGGUCUUACAAAGGUUAUUGGAUGCACCCAAUAGCGACGCUGUCUGGCUCUGAGACGUCUUCUCCAUCUGGAAACAAGGAUUAGAGCAUGAAAGCCAAAGUGAAGGUGGUCCGGCAUCAUCUUUGCAGUCUUCAGAGUGAGCUU